AGAGGGUGAUCCUGGCUCAGAACGAACGCUGGCGGCAUGCCUUAUACAUGCAAGUCGAACGAGAAAGUCACUUCGGUGGCGAGUACAGUGGCGCACGGGUGAGUAACGCGUAGAUGAUCUACCCUUCAGUCUGGGACAACUCUUGGAAACGGGAGCUAAUACCGGAUAAAACCUUCGGGUUGAAAGAUUUAUCGCUGGGGGAUGAGUCUGCGUACCAUUAGCUUGUUGGUGGGGUAACGGCCUACCAAGGCGACGAUGGUUAGCGGGUCUGAGAGGACGAUCCGCCACACUGGAACUGAGACACGGUCCAGACUCCUACGGGAGGCAGCAGUAGGGAAUAUUGCGCAAUGGGGGCAACCCUGACGCAGCAAUGCCGCGUGAGUGAAGAAGGCCUUCGGGUCGUAAAGCUCUUUUAUGGGGGAAGAUGAUGACGGUACCCCAUGAAUAAGCACCGGCUAACUACGUGCCAGCAGCCGCGGUAAUACGUAGGGUGCGAGCGUUGUUCGGAAUUACUGGGCGUAAAGGGCGUGCAGGCGGAUUGGCAAGCCGGAGGUGAAAGCCCGGGGCUCAACCCCGGAGGGUCUUUCGGAACUGCCAGUCUUGAGAGGGUCAGGGGCCAGCGGAAUUCCUGGUGUAGAGGUGAAAUUCGUAGAGAUCAGGAGGAACACCGGCGGCGAAAGCGGCUGGCUGGGGCCACUCUGACGCUGAGGCGCGAAAGCGUGGGGAGCAAACAGGAUUAGAUACCCUGGUAGUCCACGCCGUAAACGAUGGGCACUAAGCGUCCGACGGGUUCGACCCUGUUGGGUGCUGCAGUUUACGCGUUUAGUGCCCCGCCUGGGGAGUACGGUCGCAAGACUA
Molecule: ribosomal RNA, 858 nt
Filed under: uncultured marine microorganism HF70_10-07-02
Description: bacterial SSU rRNA
Rfam family: Bacterial small subunit ribosomal RNA
Source: RNAcentral